This 497-nucleotide ribosomal RNA is filed under the name uncultured bacterium. RNAcentral describes it as "partial 16S ribosomal RNA". It matches the Rfam family "Bacterial small subunit ribosomal RNA", at positions 28 to 507 of the family's 1533-position model. The record is from RNAcentral.
GAUGAACGCUGGCGGCGUGCCUAAUACAUGCAAGUCGAGCGAACAGACGAGGAGCUUGCUCCUCUGAUGUUAGCGGCGGACGGGUGAGUAACACGUGGAUAGCCUACCUAUAAGACUGGGAUAACUUCGGGAAACCGGAGCUAAUACCGGAUAAUAUAUUGAACCGCAUGGUUCAAUAGUGAAAGACGGUUUUGCUGUCACUUAUAGAUGGAUCCGCGCCGCAUUAGCUAGUUGGUAAGGUAACGGCUUACCAAGGCAACGAUGCGUAGCCGACCUGAGAGGGUGAUCGGCCACACUGGAACUGAGACACGGUCCAGACUCCUACGGGAGGCAGCAGUAGGGAAUCUUCCGCAAUGGGCGAAAGCCUGACGGAGCAACGCCGCGUGAGUGAUGAAGGUCUUCGGAUCGUAAAACUCUGUUAUUAGGGAAGAACAAAUGUGUAAGUAACUAUGCACGUCUUGACGGUACCUAAUCAGAAAGCCACGGCUAACUACGUG